RNAcentral lists this ribosomal RNA (494 nucleotides) under uncultured bacterium. RNAcentral describes it as "partial 16S ribosomal RNA". It matches the Rfam family "Bacterial small subunit ribosomal RNA", at positions 28 to 507 of the family's 1533-position model. The record is from RNAcentral.
GACGAACGCUGGCGGCGCGCUUAACACAUGCAAGUCGAACGGAAAGGCCUGCUUUCCCUUGUGGAUUGCGGGUACUCGAGUGGCGAACGGGUGAGUAACACGUGAGUGAUCUGCCCCCAACUUGGGUAUAAGCCUGGGAAACUGGGUCUAAUUCCCGAUAGGACUGCAGGGUGGUGCCUGUGGUGGAAAACGAUUUUCUAGUGGUUGGGGAUGAGCUCGCGGCCUAUCAGCUUGUUGGUGGGGUAAUGGCCUACCAAGGCGGCGACGGGUAGCCGGCCUGAGAGGGUGGACGGCCACAUUGGGACUGGGAUACGGCCCAGACUCCUACGGGAGGCAGCAGUGGGGAAGAUUGCACAAUGGGCGGAAGCCUGAUGCAGCGACGCCGCGUGGGGGAUGACGGCCUUCGGGUUGUAAACUCCUUUCGACCGCGAGGAAGCCACCUGGUUGGAAGGGUGGUGACGGUAGUGGUAGAAGAAGCACCGGCUAACUACGUG